Molecule: ribosomal RNA, 886 nt
Filed under: Shigella sonnei
Lineage: Bacteria; Pseudomonadati; Pseudomonadota; Gammaproteobacteria; Enterobacterales; Enterobacteriaceae
Description: partial 23S ribosomal RNA
Rfam family: Bacterial large subunit ribosomal RNA
Source: RNAcentral
GUGAAAUUGAACUCGCUGUGAAGAUGCAGUGUACCCGCGGCAAGACGGAAAGACCCCGUGAACCUUUACUAUAGCUUGACACUGAACAUUGAGCCUUGAUGUGUAGGAUAGGUGGGAGGCUUUGAAGUGUGGACGCCAGUCUGCAUGGAGCCGGCCUUGAAAUACCACCCUUUAAUGUUUGAUGUUCUAACGUGGACCCGUGAUCCGGGUUGCGGACAGUGUCUGGUGGGUAGUUUGACUGGGGCGGUCUCCUCCUAAAGAGUAACGGAGGAGCACGAAGGUUGGCUAAUCCUGGUCGGACAUCAGGAGGUUAGUGCAAUGGCAUAAGCCAGCUUGACUGCGAGCGUGACGGCGCGAGCAGGUGCGAAAGCAGGUCAUAGUGAUCCGGUGGUUCUGAAUGGAAGGGCCAUCGCUCAACGGAUAAAAGGUACUCCGGGGAUAACAGGCUGAUACCGCCCAAGAGUUCAUAUCGACGGCGGUGUUUGGCACCUCGAUGUCGGCUCAUCACAUCCUGGGGCUGAAGUAGGUCCCAAGGGUAUGGCUGUUCGCCAUUUAAAGUGGUACGCGAGCUGGGUUUAGAACGUCGUGAGACAGUUCGGUCCCUAUCUGCCGUGGGCGCUGGAGAACUGAGGGGGGCUGCUCCUAGUACGAGAGGACCGGAGUGGACGCAUCACUGGUGUUCGGGUUGUCAUGCCAAUGGCACUGCCCGGUAGCUAAAUGCGGAAGAGAUAAGUGCUGAAAGCAUCUAAGCACGAAACUUGCCCCGAGAUGAGUUCUCCCUGACCCUUUAAGGGUCCUGAAGGAACGUUGAAGACGACGACGUUGAUAGGCCGGGUGUGUAAGCGCAGCGAUGCGUUGAGCUAACCGGUACUAAUGAACCGUGAGG